AGUCGAGCGGUAACAUUUCUAGCUUGCUAGAAGAUGACGAGCGGCGGACGGGUGAGUAACGCGUAGGAAUCUACCUAUUGGUGGGGGAUAGCCCAGGGAAACUUGGAUUAAUACCGCAUAAGCUCUUAGGAGGAAAGCGGGGGAUCUUCGGACCUCGUGCCAAUAGAUGAGCCUGCGUAAGAUUAGCUAGAUGGUGGGGUAAUGGCCUACCAUGGCGACGAUCUUUAGCUGGUCUGAGAGGAUGAUCAGCCACACUGGGACUGAGACACGGCCCAGACUCCUACGGGAGGCAGCAGUGGGGAAUAUUGCACAAUGGGCGCAAGCCUGAUGCAGCCAUGCCGCGUGUGUGAAGAAGGCCUUAGGGUUGUAAAGCACUUUCAGUGGGGAGGAAAGGUUAUAAGUUAAUACCUUAUAGCUGUGACGUUACCCACAGAAGAAGGACCGGCUAAUUCCGUGCCAGCAGCCGCGGUAAUACGGAAGGUCCGAGCGUUAAUCGGAAUUACUGGGCGUAAAGCGCACGUAGGCGGCUAGGUCAGUUGGGUGUGAAAGCCCCGGGCUCAACCUGGGAACUGCAUCCAAUACUGCCUGGCUAGAGUACGAGAGAGGGGGG
This 610-nucleotide ribosomal RNA is filed under the name uncultured Gammaproteobacteria bacterium. RNAcentral describes it as "bacterial SSU rRNA". It matches the Rfam family "Bacterial small subunit ribosomal RNA", at positions 60 to 661 of the family's 1533-position model. Lineage: Bacteria; Pseudomonadati; Pseudomonadota; Gammaproteobacteria. The record is from RNAcentral.